CUCUUUAUCCCAGACCGUACGGCUCACUGGGGCUGAGCGUGGCAGUGACAGGGAUGUGCACAGCUGACUGACUGACUGAGUGACGGGUUUGUUUUCACUUUGGGGAUUACACAGGAUACAGCUGGACACUUGGGGACAUUGAAGGAAGGGUGCACUAAAAAAAGCCAGACGCCAUGCAACAGAAUGACUUUGCCCAGGAUGCAAACCAGCUGGAGGAGAAAUACCAGGAUGAGUCACCCAGAGGAGAACCGGUCCAGUUGGAGUCCCCAGAUGCCGCCCCGUUCAGCUGCCUGGAUCACUUGGUGGUGCGGAGGCAUUCAUGUCGCACCAUGCAGCUGCCGCCCUUGGCUUUCAGGCUGGCGGAGCAGGCCUAUUACGACCGUACACCUGAACCGACCCCCAUGACAGUACCCUCCCGGCCGACCACUCUGUCUCUGCUGCCCCCCAUUAUUAACAUCACCGCCGCGGACUCCACCAGGUACGACAACCACACUUCUAACUCGAGUAUCUGGGACUUAUGGGUAGAAAACAACUCCCAAUAAUGAUUGUGCAAACAAAUCUGUGCAUCACGUUGAAUAAGUUACUCCUGACCAGAGGUUCCACUAGACGUUUUUUUUGUUUUGUCGACACUUUGGCCGGCUGGGUCAUAAAAUGUUGGCCAUUCACAAGAAUUGUGUCAUAUUAUCAAUGGGAGAGCAGGUGUCAUGCUGGCGUACCCAACUCAACUGCAC
RNAcentral lists this long non-coding RNA (731 nucleotides) under Neogobius melanostomus (round goby). RNAcentral's name for it is "lncRNA (ENSNMLG00000026202.1)". The record is from RNAcentral. Lineage: Eukaryota; Metazoa; Chordata; Actinopteri; Gobiiformes; Gobiidae.